UUACCGAGUGAGGGCCCUCUGGGUCCAACCUCCCACCCGUGUUUAUUUUACCUUGUUGCUUCGGCGGGCCCGCCUUAACUGGCCGCCGGGGGGCUUACGCCCCCGGGCCCGCGCCCGCCGAAGACACCCUCGAACUCUGUCUGAAGAUUGUAGUCUGAGUGAAAAUAUAAAUUAUUUAAAACUUUCAACAACGGAUCUCUUGGUUCCGGCAUCGAUGAAGAACGCAGCGAAAUGCGAUACGUAAUGUGAAUUGCAAAUUCAGUGAAUCAUCGAGUCUUUGAACGCACAUUGCGCCCCCUGGUAUUCCGGGGGGCAUGCCUGUCCGAGCGUCAUUUCUGCCCUCAAGCACGGCUUGUGUGUUGGGCCCCGUCCUCCGAUCCCGGGGGACGGGCCCGAAAGGCAGCGGCGGCACCGCGUCCGGUCCUCGAGCGUAUGGGGCUUUGUCACCCGCUCUGUAGGCCCGGCCGGCGCUUGCCGAUCAACCCAAAUUUUUAUCCAGGUUGACCUCGGAUCAGGUAGGGAUACCCGCUGAACUUAAGCAUAUCAAUAAGCGGAGGAAAAGAAACCAACAGGGAUUGCCCCAGUAACGGCGAGUGAAGCGGCAAGAGCUCAAAUUUGAAAGCUGGCUCCUUCGGGGUCCGCAUUGUAAUUUGUAGAGGAUGCUUCGGGAGCGGUCCCCAUCUAAGUGCCCUGGAACGGGACGUCAUAGAGGGUGAGAAUCCCGUAUGGGAUGGGG
RNAcentral lists this ribosomal RNA (736 nucleotides) under fungal endophyte. Its description in RNAcentral is "eukaryotic LSU rRNA". The stretch from base 502 to 736 matches the Rfam family "Eukaryotic large subunit ribosomal RNA", at positions 1 to 233 of the family's 3401-position model. The record is from RNAcentral. Lineage: Eukaryota; Fungi.